RNAcentral lists this ribosomal RNA (856 nucleotides) under uncultured bacterium. Its description in RNAcentral is "bacterial SSU rRNA". It matches the Rfam family "Bacterial small subunit ribosomal RNA", at positions 59 to 901 of the family's 1533-position model. The record is from RNAcentral.
CAGUCGAGCGGACAGAAGGGAGCUUGCUCCCGGAUGUUAGCGGCGGACGGGUGAGUAACACGUGGGUAACCUGCCUGUAAGACUGGGAUAACUCCGGGAAACCGGAGCUAAUACCGGAUAGUUCCUUGAACCGCAUGGUUCAAGGAUGAAAGACGGUUUCGGCUGUCACUUACAGAUGGACCCGCGGCGCAUUAGCUAGUUGGUGGGGUAAUGGCUCACCAAGGCGACGAUGCGUAGCCGACCUGAGAGGGUGAUCGGCCACACUGGGACUGAGACACGGCCCAGACUCCUACGGGAGGCAGCAGUAGGGAAUCUUCCGCAAUGGACGAAAGUCUGACGGAGCAACGCCGCGUGAGUGAUGAAGGUUUUCGGAUCGUAAAGCUCUGUUGUUAGGGAAGAACAAGUGCGAGAGUAACUGCUCGCACCUUGACGGUACCUAACCAGAAAGCCACGGCUAACUACGUGCCAGCAGCCGCGGUAAUACGUAGGUGGCAAGCGUUGUCCGGAAUUAUUGGGCGUAAAGGGCUCGCAGGCGGUUUCUUAAGUCUGAUGUGAAAGCCCCCGGCUCAACCGGGGAGGGUCAUUGGAAACUGGGAAACUUGAGUGCANAAGAGGAGAGUGGAAUUCCACGUGUAGCGGUGAAAUGCGUANAGAUGUGGAGGAACACCAGUGGCGAAGGCGACUCUCUGGUCUGUAACUGACGCUGAGAGCGAAAGCGUGGGGAGCGAACAGGAUUAGAUACCCUGGUAGUCCACGCCGUAAACGAUGAGUGCUAAGUGUUAGGGGGUUUCCGCCCCUUAUGCUGCAGCUAACGCAUUAGCACUCCGCCUGGGGAGUACGUCCCAAGACUGAAACU